GACGAACGCUGGCGGCGUGCCUAAUACAUGCAAGUAGAACGCUGAAGAGAGGAGCUUGCUCUUCUUGGAUGAGUUGCGAACGGGUGAGUAACGCGUAGGUAACCUGCCUUGUAGCGGGGGAUAACUAUUGGAAACGAUAGCUAAUACCGCAUAACAAUGGAUGACACAUGUCAUUUAUUUGAAAGGGGCAAUUGCUCCACUACAAGAUGGACCUGCGUUGUAUUAGCUAGUAGGUGAGGUAAUGGCUCACCUAGGCGACGAUACAUAGCCGACCUGAGAGGGGGAGCGGCCACACUGGGAUUGGGACACGGCCCAGACCCCUACGGGAGGCAGAAGCAGGGAAUCUUCGGCAAUGGGGGCAACCCUGACCGAGCAACGCCGCGUGAGUGAAGAAGGUUUUCGGAUCGUAAAGAUCUGUUGUAAGUCAAGAACGGGUGUGAGAGUGGAAAGUUCACACUGUGACGGUAGCUUACCAGAAAGGGACGGCUAACUACGUG
RNAcentral lists this ribosomal RNA (497 nucleotides) under uncultured bacterium. RNAcentral describes it as "partial 16S ribosomal RNA". It matches the Rfam family "Bacterial small subunit ribosomal RNA", at positions 28 to 507 of the family's 1533-position model. The record is from RNAcentral.